RNAcentral lists this ribosomal RNA (467 nucleotides) under uncultured bacterium. RNAcentral's name for it is "partial 16S ribosomal RNA". It matches the Rfam family "Bacterial small subunit ribosomal RNA", at positions 28 to 507 of the family's 1533-position model. The record is from RNAcentral.
GAUGAACGCUGACAGAAUGCUUAACACAUGCAAGUCAACUUGAAUUUGGGUUUUUAACUUAGGUUUGGGUGGCGGAUGGGUGAGUAACGCGUAAAGAACUUGCCUCACAGCUAGGGACAACAUUUGGAAACGAAUGCUAAUACCUAAUAUUAUGAUAAUAGGGCAUCCUAUAAUUAUGAAAGCUAUAAGCGCUGUGAGAGAGCUUUGCGUCCCAUUAGCUAGUUGGAGAGGUAACGGCUCACCAAGGCGAUGAUGGGUAGCCGGCCUGAGAGGGUGAUCGGCCACAAGGGGACUGAGACACGGCCCUUACUCCUACGGGAGGCAGCAGUGGGGAAUAUUGGACAAUGGACCGAGAGUCUGAUCCAGCAAUUCUGUGUGCACGAUGAAGUUUUUCGGAAUGUAAAGUGCUUUCAGUUGGGAAGAAACAAAUGACGGUACCAACAGAAGAAGUGACGGCUAAAUACGUG